Callithrix jacchus (white-tufted-ear marmoset) is the source of this 1378-nucleotide non-coding RNA. The record is from RefSeq and is a predicted model, not a curated record. NCBI's taxonomy places the organism in Eukaryota, Metazoa, Chordata, Mammalia, Primates, Cebidae.
UUCAGUUACUGGUCCCUGCCGGUGCUGCAAAUACUUAGCCUGGGGAAGAGUGGUGGGGAGAGACGAAAUAGUUAACUAGCUGACCUGGGGCGCACAGCUUCCCUAGCACCUGCUGCGCUCAGGCUGCGGCUGGCUGCUUCCUCCUGAAUCUGUUAGGAGUACACUUUCCCCUUGGCCCUCGGGGGCCAGCGUCCAGGUUUGCCCCAGCGGUGGAGACAGCUCCAGUCACCGAACUGAUUUAUAGGCCAGAGCAUUCCCAGGCCGCACCGCAAGGAGUCGGGCUGAGCUUGGACUUUGGGGAGGUGGUGAUGGACACAGGACACGUGGCCACACAAUGGGGACACACGACUGACCUAAGUCACUUCGGUAAACUGCCCUUGCUUUCCGGAGGCAGCAGGAGCGUUUCGGGAGCUCCAAGUCUCUAGGCGCCUGCAUUCCUCGCCCCAGCAGGGUAGUAGCACUGCACUUGUCUGGCUGAACUGCAUGGCACCCUAACUUCUCCUUGACAAUUCCAAAGACCGAAGUUGGAGCGAAGAGCAACAGAAUUUUUGCAAAAAUAAAAACAGAGGCCAAACCCAGGGCAAAGGGUUGGGAACUGGGGCUGGGUAGCCUGUUGCGUGCACCUUCCAGAAGAACGCUGGGGAGAACCUAAAGUUCGCUGGAGCCCUCUUCCCCUCUCCUGCGUUCCAAGAGGAUCCACAAAGUGGGGUUGGGAGAUUUGAUAGGCUGAAAUCCGGUCACUCACGUCCACGGUUCUAUUCAGAAAACAGUUUCAAAAUAAGUUAACCUCUGUAGGGCGUUUUUCCCCCUCCCCUUCUAAUUGUCCCCCCUUCCCCCACCCCCUCCCCCAUUUGAGUCUGUUUUAUGUUCCCCUGCGUUGUGCCAACUAUUUUAUCUUUAUUCCUUCUCUUUCUCUCUUGCUAUUCAUUCCUUUUUGUGUGUGUGGCUUCUCCGGCUGAUGUGCAGCUCGUUACCACCCACUGCACACUUGCUCCUGUAGCUGAGGUGUUUCUAUACAAACUCCAGCGUCCAGUUGUCAUAUUAAUUAUUACACUGAGUAAUGACUGAAAUGGUCAAAAUAAGGGGAGACUCAAGAGCGCUUUUUCUUGCGGCUCAAAGAUUCAGCAAAGAAGCCGUGCAACAAAGCACUAAUUGGUCCCCAGAAACACUCUGACAAGGCAUGGAAGAUAGGUUUCAUAGAGCCCUUCGAUUGUGAAGGGGGGAGAGCUCUGAAUGGACUCCACGCUUCUUUUCUAAACUCUCUUGCUGAGCAAAAAAUGGACCUCUGUUUGAAUACUGCCCUGAUCCUUGAAUACUAUACCCAGCAGAGAAAAAAAUGCAGCAUUUAUUGUAAGUUUUUUUUUUCUUCUCCAGCUAU